Molecule: ribosomal RNA, 439 nt
Filed under: uncultured bacterium
Lineage: Bacteria
Description: partial 16S ribosomal RNA
Rfam family: Bacterial small subunit ribosomal RNA
Source: RNAcentral
CUACGGGGGGCACCAGUGAGGAAUAUUGCACAAUGGGGGGAACCCUGAUGCAGCAACGCCGCGUGGAGGAUGACGCAUUUCGGUGUGUAAACUCCUUUUAUAUGUCAAGAAAAUGACGGUAGCAUAUGAAUAAGCACCGGCUAACUCCGUGCCAGCAGUCGCGGUAAUACGGAGGGUGCAAGCGUUACUCGGAAUCACUGGGCGUAAAGGACGCGUAGGCGGGUUGGAAAGUCAGGUGUGAAAUCCUACAGCUUAACUGUAGAACUGCACUUGAAACUUCUAAUCUAGAGUAUGGGAGGGGGAGAUGGAAUUAGUGGUGUAGGGGUAAAAUCCGUAGAUAUCACUAGGAAUACCUAAAGCGAAGGCGAUCUCCUGGAACAUUACUGACGCUAAGGCGUGAAAGCGUGGGGAGCAAACAGGAUUAGAUACCCCCGUAAUC